Molecule: transfer RNA, 77 nt
Filed under: Pseudomonadota bacterium
Lineage: Bacteria; Pseudomonadati; Pseudomonadota
Also listed under: 9 other names
Description: tRNA-Met
Rfam family: tRNA
About the family: Transfer RNA (tRNA) molecules are approximately 80 nucleotides in length.
Source: RNAcentral
CGCGGGGUGGAGCAGUCUGGUAGCUCGUCGGGCUCAUAACCCGAAGGUCGCGGGUUCAAAUCCCGCCCCCGCUACCA